RNAcentral lists this ribosomal RNA (755 nucleotides) under Bacillus licheniformis. RNAcentral describes it as "bacterial SSU rRNA". It matches the Rfam family "Bacterial small subunit ribosomal RNA", at positions 47 to 781 of the family's 1533-position model. The record is from RNAcentral. Lineage: Bacteria; Bacillati; Bacillota; Bacilli; Caryophanales; Bacillaceae.
CCUAAUACAUGGCAAGUCGAGCGGACAGAUCGGGAGCUUGCUCCCUGAUGUCAGCGGCGGACGGGUGAGUAACACGUGGGUAACCUGCCUGUAAGACUGGGAUAACUCCGGGAAACCGGGGCUAAUACCGGAUGCUUGAUUGAACCGCAUGGUUCAAUUAUAAAAGGUGGCUUUUAGCUACCACUUACAGAUGGACCCGCGGCGCAUUAGCUAGUUGGUGAGGUAACGGCUCACCAAGGCAACGAUGCGUAGCCGACCUGAGAGGGUGAUCGGCCACACUGGGACUGAGACACGGCCCAGACUCCUACGGGAGGCAGCAGUAGGGAAUCUUCCGCAAUGGACGAAAGUCUGACGGAGCAACGCCGCGUGAGUGAUGAAGGUUUUCGGAUCGUAAAACUCUGUUGUUAGGGAAGAACAAGUACCGUUCGAAUAGGGCGGUACCUUGACGGUACCUAACCAGAAAGCCACGGCUAACUACGUGCCAGCAGCCGCGGUAAUACGUAGGUGGCAAGCGUUGUCCGGAAUUAUUGGGCGUAAAGCGCGCGCAGGCGGUUUCUUAAGUCUGAUGUGAAAGCCCCCGGCUCAACCGGGGAGGGUCAUUGGAAACUGGGGAACUUGAGUGCAGAAGAGGAGAGUGGAAUUCCACGUGUAGCGGUGAAAUGCGUAGAGAUGUGGAGGAACACCAGUGGCGAAGGCGACUCUCUGGUCUGUAACUGACGCUGAGGCGCGAAAGCGUGGGGAGCGAACAGGAUUAG